RNAcentral lists this ribosomal RNA (553 nucleotides) under uncultured bacterium. Its description in RNAcentral is "partial 16S ribosomal RNA". It matches the Rfam family "Bacterial small subunit ribosomal RNA", at positions 359 to 905 of the family's 1533-position model. The record is from RNAcentral.
UUUUAUUGGGAACCAUGGGCGCAAGCCUGAUCCAGCAAUGCCGUGUGUGUGAUGAAGGCCCUAGGGUUGUAAAGCACUGUCAGUAGGGACGAAUUGCUUNGGGUAACGCCGAAAAGUGACGGUUCCUACNGAGGAAGGACCGGCUAACUCCGUGCCNGCANCCGCGGUAAUACGGANGGUCCAAGCGUUGUUCNGAAUCACUGGGCGUAAAGCGCGUGUAGGCNGUUUCGUCANUCAGAUGUGAAAUCCCGGGGCUCAACCCCGGACGUGCAUCCGAUACUGCGAAACUAGAAUCCCGGAGGGGGUGGCGGAAUUCCUGGUGUAGAGGUGAAAUUCGUAGAUAUCAGGAGGAACACCCGUGGCGAAUGCGGCCACCUGGACGGNCAUUGACGCUNAGACNCGAAAGCNUGNGUAGCAAACAGGAUUAGAUACCCUGGUAGUCCACGCCGUAAACGAUGAGUGCUAGGUGUUGCGGGUAUUGACCCCUGCAGUGCCGAAGUUAACACAUUAAGCACUCCGCCUGGGGAGUACGGUCGCAAGAUUAAAACUCAAA